AACGAACGCUGGCGGCAGGCUUAACACAUGCAAGUCGAGCGCCUCGCAAGAGGAGCGGCAGACGGGUGAGUAACGCGUGGGAAUCUACCCAUCUCUACGGAACAACUCCGGGAAACUGGAGCUAAUACCGUAUACGUCCUUCGGGAGAAAGAUUUAUCGGAGAUGGAUGAGCCCGCGUUGGAUUAGCUAGUUGGUGGGGUAAUGGCCUACCAAGGCGACGAUCCAUAGCUGGUCUGAGAGGAUGAUCAGCCACAUUGGGACUGAGACACGGCCCAAACUCCUACGGGAGGCAGCAGUGGGGAAUAUUGGACAAUGGGCGAAAGCCUGAUCCAGCCAUGCCGCGUGAGUGAUGAAGGCCCUAGGGUUGUAAAGCUCUUUCAACGGUGAAGAUAAUGACGGUAACCGUAGAAGAAGCCCCGGCUAACUUCGUGC
RNAcentral lists this ribosomal RNA (432 nucleotides) under uncultured bacterium. Its description in RNAcentral is "bacterial SSU rRNA". It matches the Rfam family "Bacterial small subunit ribosomal RNA", at positions 29 to 508 of the family's 1533-position model. The record is from RNAcentral.